UACGUAGGGUGCAAGCGUUGUCCGGAAUUAUUGGGCGUAAAGAGCUCGUAGGCGGUUUGUCGCGUCGAAUGUGAAAACCCGGGGCUCAACCCCGGGCCUGCAUUCGAUACUGGCAGGCUAGAGUUCGGUAGGGGAGUCUGGAAUUCCUGGUGUAGCGGUGAAAUGCGCAGAUAUCAGGAGGAACACCUGUGGCGAAGGCGGGACUCUGGGCCGAUACUGACGCUGAGGAGCGAAAGCGUGGGGAGCAAACAGG
RNAcentral lists this ribosomal RNA (253 nucleotides) under uncultured bacterium. RNAcentral's name for it is "partial 16S ribosomal RNA". It matches the Rfam family "Bacterial small subunit ribosomal RNA", at positions 524 to 776 of the family's 1533-position model. The record is from RNAcentral.